CACUGGGGACUGACGAGGUCAAAGCGUAGUCCGUUUCUCUACGACGUCGGGUAUAUGUUUUACUACGAAACAUUGUAUCAAUCGAAGUAAAGAUUGGUGGAAAUAUUGGGUUUUAAAUAGAGUCAUGGAGUGGCUGGAUGUUUCAUUUGAGGAGGAGGUAUUAACAACGGCACAACAUGAUACGAACAGCACAGUCGACAUGAUAGCAAUUUGAAUGUGAAGUGCGAUAAUACGUUGACGACAGUACGAUAACGCGAUAGUACGAUGGCGACAAUGCGAUAAUACGAUGACGACAGUGCGACAAUAUGAUGGGGGCAGUGCGAUAGUACGAUGGCGACAAUGUGAUUGUGCGAUAAUACGAUGACGACAGUGCG
Long non-coding RNA from Dreissena polymorpha, 374 nucleotides. RefSeq lists it as uncharacterized. The transcript has 3 exons. The record is from RefSeq and is a predicted model, not a curated record. NCBI's taxonomy places the organism in Eukaryota, Metazoa, Mollusca, Bivalvia, Myida, Dreissenidae.